Long non-coding RNA from Photinus pyralis (common eastern firefly), 439 nucleotides. RefSeq lists it as uncharacterized. The transcript has 2 exons. The record is from RefSeq and is a predicted model, not a curated record. Lineage: Eukaryota; Metazoa; Arthropoda; Insecta; Coleoptera; Lampyridae.
CGGAAAUUUACUUCAAAAAGUAUCAGUAAUUAAAGUAAUGCAAUCGCAGUAAAGCGGUUAUUUAUUAAAUUUUACUCAAAAUACUGAAGAUGCUGUAAUAAUUUUCGACCGCUUGUUUUGCAAUUAUAUGCUUUUGACAACUGAUACCUACUUAACCUCAAUUAUUCUCUAUUGUGUAUAUUGCCUUAUUGCCACAAUGGAUUCUGAAAGUAUAGUUCCUUUAAUUGUUAAUAAUAUUUUGAGUAUUUUGGACGAUUCAAGUUCUGAUGAUGAUGAAUUUCUAGUAUUAACACAUUUGAUGAAUGUGAGUGAUUCCACUCGUUUAACGAGAAUUGAACAUUAUGUGGAAAAUGUGGUUCAUUUAUAUUCAGAUGAUCAAUUCCAAUCACAUUUUAGAAUGCAACGAAAAACAUUUGACUUUAUUUUGUCUUUAAUUGGA